UUCGGAGUUAGUGGCGGACGGGUGAGUAACACGUGGGAACGUGCCUUUAGGUUCGGAAUAACUCAGGGAAACUUGUGCUAAUACCGAAUGUGCCCUUCGGGGGAAAGAUUUAUCGCCUUUAGAGCGGCCCGCGUCUGAUUAGCUAGUUGGUGAGGUAAAGGCUCACCAAGGCGACGAUCAGUAGCUGGUCUGAGAGGAUGAUCAGCCACAUUGGGACUGAGACACGGCCCAAACUCCUACGGGAGGCAGCAGUGGGGAAUCUUGCGCAAUGGGCGAAAGCCUGACGCAGCCAUGCCGCGUGAAUGAUGAAGGUCUUAGGAUUGUAAAAUUCUUUCAGUAGGGACGAUAAUGACGGUACCUACAGAAGAAGCCCCGGCUAACUUCGUGCCAGCAGCCGCGGUAAUACGAAGGGGGCUAGCGUUGCUCGGAAUUACUGGGCGUAAAGGGAGCGUAGGCGGACAUUUAAGUCAGGGGUGAAAUCCCGGGGCUCAACCUCGGAAUUGCCUUUGAUACUGGGUGUCUUGAGUGUGAGAGAGGUAUGUGGAACUCCGAGUGUAGAGGUGAAAUUCGUAGAUAUUCGGAAGAACACCAGUGGCGAAGGCGACAUACUGGCUCAUUACUGACGCUGAGGCUCGAAAGCGUGGGGAGCAAACAGGAUUAGAUACCCUGGUAGUCCACGCCGUAAACGAU
This 690-nucleotide ribosomal RNA is filed under the name uncultured bacterium. Its description in RNAcentral is "bacterial SSU rRNA". It matches the Rfam family "Bacterial small subunit ribosomal RNA", at positions 85 to 810 of the family's 1533-position model. The record is from RNAcentral.